Molecule: ribosomal RNA, 693 nt
Filed under: uncultured Staphylococcus sp.
Lineage: Bacteria; Bacillati; Bacillota; Bacilli; Caryophanales; Staphylococcaceae
Description: bacterial SSU rRNA
Rfam family: Bacterial small subunit ribosomal RNA
Source: RNAcentral
GAGCGAACAGACGAGGAGCUUGCUCCUCUGACGUUAGCGGCGGACGGGUGAGUAACACGUGGAUAACCUACCUAUAAGACUGGGAUAACUUCGGGAAACCGGAGCUAAUACCGGAUAAUAUAUUGAACCGCAUGGUUCAAUAGUGAAAGACGGUUUUGCUGUCACUUAUAGAUGGAUCCGCGCCGCAUUAGCUAGUUGGUAAGGUAACGGCUUACCAAGGCAACGAUGCGUAGCCGACCUGAGGGGGUGAUCGGCCUCACUGGAACUGAGACACGGUCCAGACUCCUACGGGAGGCAGCAGUAGGGAAUCUUCCGCAAUGGGCGAAAGCCUGACGGAGCAACGCCGCGUGAGUGAUGAAGGUCUUCGGAUCGUAAAACUCUGUUAUUAGGGAAGAACAUAUGUGUAAGUAACUGUGCACAUCUUGACGGUACCUAAUCAGAAAGCCACGGCUAACUACGUGCCAGCAGCCGCGGUAAUACGUAGGUGGCAAGCGUUAUCCGGAAUUAUUGGGCGUAAAGCGCGCGUAGGCGGUUUUUUAAGUCUGAUGUGAAAGCCCACGGCUCAACCGUGGAGGGUCAUUGGAAACUGGAAUACUUGAGUGCAGAAGAGGAAAGUGGAAUUCCAUGUGUAGCGGUGAUAUGCGCAGAGAUAUGGAGGUACACCAGUGGCGAAGGCGACUUUCUGGUCUGUAA